CUUUCACAAAUUCAAAAACAUCCCACCACCCCAUACAUACAUCCCUCUCCUUCACUUCCUGUGGUAACUCCAAAUCUUAAAACUUCAAGUGUAGAGUUUAACUCCAAGUGAUUUCUCGUGCUUCAAGCUUUGGGUUUUAAUAGUUCUUAUCUUAUUCCUUCUCCUUGCUUGCUUCUUGGCACGAGUAGGUCGGUGCACAUAGACACGGACUUUGUCAUUUCCUAUUUGCUAUUUGCUUGUCAUUUGUUGUAUUUGGAGCUUACGCUUGCUGACCAGGUUGCAUUUUUCAAAACUACGGAAUGCUUGGAAUAGAAGAACCCACGGGAUUUCGAGUACUUAGCGGGCGUUCAUUGUUUAGAAGUCUUAGCUUUUUGCUUCCGCUGUGCAAUGAAGAUACCGGUCCAGUCACG
Molecule: long non-coding RNA, 410 nt
Organism: Helianthus annuus (common sunflower)
Lineage: Eukaryota; Viridiplantae; Streptophyta; Magnoliopsida; Asterales; Asteraceae
Exons: 3
Source: RefSeq, a predicted model, not a curated record